CGUGGCGCGGGGGCUGCCUGGAGCCAUGGAGCUGAUCCCGCCGGUGGACCUGGGCACCUGGAGGGCCUCUCCAGGAGAAGUGACUCAGGCUGUGAAGGUGGCCAUCGAUGCGGGCUACCGACGCUUCGACUGCGUACUUAUACCAGAACGAGAGUGACAUAGGAGAGGGAUCCAGUGCCAGCUCCUCAAGGGCGUUGUGAGACAAGAGGACCUGCUCGUUGUCAGCAAGCCAGGGCUUCUCUCCUUCCAUUCCAGGAGUCAGAGCACACAGCUACUCUCCAGAGAAUCAGUGCCCAGGACGUUGGGGCUGGGGGACCUGCUGCAGCAAGGACCUCGCAGUGGGGGCUCGCACCUGCGCAGUGAGUGCAGCACCCCUCCUUGGUGGCUCCAGCUGGCGGUGGCCUGCGCCCGGCUGUCGUGGUGGCUGCAGCAGGGUGCAGAAGCCUGGCUCCCGGGACGGCCCCACCCCCCCCCCAACUCGGGCGUCCAGCGGAACGGCUGGGGGCUCCGGACCCCGCGACCCGGCCACCCCCUCGCCGACUCUGCGGACCCACCAUGCCCUCACCUCAGCAUGCCACGGAAGAGAAGCUCAGGAUCGUCCAAGUUCAGGGUGUUCGAGUUGCUUGGAGAGGUUUGGAAAGCAAAGAAUAAAUGACACAGCAAUGCAUAGUGUGUUCAUCUCCUCCCCGGUGCAAGUGUCCAGAGCUCCUGUCCCGCACUCAUGUGGUGCACGGUCUACAAGGACGGCUGGGCAGGCAGAGCAGAGCAGCUCGGUGCUACAGCCCAGUGCCCUGGCUCGGAGGCACAGCUGAGCUUUACAGCUCAGUGUGGCAGCUCUGGGUCGCACCUCACAUAAUUUGAAGACUUGAGAAACCAAAGGUCACUCAAAGAGAUGCAGAAAAACCUUCAUUACUCCAGUGGGUUUUCAGAGUUUUGCCAGAAGUGAAAGCCUCCUUAUAUAGGGAUCUACAGGGUAGGCGGCCAUGCUCACUGAAGCAGAGGGUGGGG
RNAcentral lists this long non-coding RNA (1008 nucleotides) under Heterocephalus glaber (naked mole-rat). Its description in RNAcentral is "lncRNA (ENSHGLG00000047706.1)". The record is from RNAcentral. Lineage: Eukaryota; Metazoa; Chordata; Mammalia; Rodentia; Bathyergidae.